Molecule: non-coding RNA, 1032 nt
Organism: Macaca mulatta (Rhesus monkey)
Lineage: Eukaryota; Metazoa; Chordata; Mammalia; Primates; Cercopithecidae
Source: RefSeq, a predicted model, not a curated record
GGGGACGCGUGCGGCCCCCUGCUCCCAGGCCACUUCGCGCGCGUGCUCCACAUCCUCCUCGGGACACUUGUCCCCGGAUCCCCUACCCCUGGCCGGCCCGAGGCCGCCUUCUCGGGAAACCCCCCAGUCCCCAAGGGUGUUUUCCCUUGGCUACCUGCGCUGCGAGGGGAGGAGGGAAUUCAGAGAAGGGGCACAAGGGGGGCGUCCCUGGGAGGGGGCGCGACUGGAGGAGACAGAACUGGGAGCGGGUGCCAAAGCGCGGGCCUUUGCUCCGCCUGGGCGCAAUGGGAACACCAACUGGCAGAGUUGGAAACUUUUCCCCCACGUGGCACCACAGUGCGUGGCCGAGUGACCCCGCGCCCGGAUGACCGCUGGGAUCCCCGCCUCGUCUUCCAGCGGGGGACCUUGGGAUGCACGGGCGGCUUCGAAUCCGGGAGCGCGAGGCCUAGCAGCCGGGGGCUGAACUUGAACCUCGAAGGCGGCUGCGGGCGAGGGGCGGGGCUGGAGUGGCCGGACCGCCGCCCCAGCUCAAGGACCCGUUAGACCCGCAAACCGCAGUCCCUGCCCCGCGGGCUUCCUUUACUUUUUGGGAGUGGGGCGGGGUGGGGGGGGCUUCCCUGCUUUUUCCACCACAGCCGCUUCUCCCGCCGCAAUGUGGCUGAUGCUUAUAAAAAGUUGUAUUAAAGAGCUGACUGCAGCCGAGAAUCGAUCAACAAAAACGACCAGCCUCUCUGGGUCUAUCCAUGGCCUUCUCAACAGAUGACUUCAAGUUGAUUUCGUGCUUUAUUUCUUAAGAAUAGUGACUAACCUACGGGAUCUGAUUCAAUUUAUUAGGAACACAGUGCCACCUUCCAAAAUUACUUACCUAAGAGGACUGAGCCUGCUGUCCCUGGAGCAGUUAGCUAAAACAGUGCCUCAGUACGGAGUGUACCUGUGUUAACUUCUAGAGUGCUGUUUCCGGCAGCUGCUGAAAUCCACGCUGAGGUUAUCAAGCUCAUCCUACAAAAUAAAGCAAGUUCUUUGCAAUUUAAA